AGAGUUUGAUCCUGGCUCAGGACGAACGCUGGCGGCGCGCCUAACACAUGCAAGUCGAACGAGCGAGAGAGAGCUUGCUUUCUCAAGCGAGUGGCGAACGGGUGAGUAACGCGUGAGGAACCUGCCUCAAAGAGGGGGACAACAGUUGGAAACGACUGCUAAUACCGCAUAAGCCCACGGGUCGGCAUCGACCAGAGGGAAAAGGAGCAAUCCGCUUUGAGAUGGCCUCGCGUCCGAUUAGCUAGUUGGUGAGGUAAUGGCCCACCAAGGCGACGAUCGGUAGCCGGACUGAGAGGUUGAACGGCCACAUUGGGACUGAGACACGGCCCAGACUCCUACGGGAGGCAGCAGUGGGGAACAUUGCACAAUGGGGGAAACCCUGAUGCAGCGACGCCGCGUGGAGGAAGAAGGUCUUCGGAUUGUAAACUCCUGUUGUUGAGGAAGAUAAUGACGGUACUCAACAAGGAAGUGAAGGCUAACUACGUGCCAGCAGCCGCGGUAAAACGUAGGUCACAAGCGUUGUCCGGAAUUACUGGGUGUAAAGGGAGCGCAGGCGGGAAGACAAGUUGGAAGUGAAAUCUAUGGGCUCAACCCAUAAACUGCUUUCAAAACUGUUUUUCUUGAGUAGUGCAGAGGUAGGCGGAAUUCCCGGUGUAGCGGUGGAAUGCGUAGAUAUCGGGAGGAACACCAGUGGCGAAGGCGGCCUACUGGGCACCAACUGACGCUGAGGCUCGAAAGUGUGGGUAGCANACAGGAUUAGAUACNCUGGUAGUCCACACCGUAAACGAUGAUUACUAGGUGUUGGAGGGUUGACCCCUUCAGUGCCGCAGUUAACACAAUAAGUAAUCCACCUGGGGAGUACGACCGCAAGGUUGAAACUCAAAGGAAUUGACGGGGGCCCGCACAAGCAGUGGAGUAUGUGGUUUAAUUCGACGCAACGCGAAGAACCUUACCAAGUCUUGACAUCCUCUGACGAACGUAGAAAUACGUUUUCUCUUCGGAGCAGAGAGACAGGUGGUGCAUGGUUGUCGUCAGCUCGUGUCGUGAGAUGUUGGGUUAAGUCCCGCAACGAGCGCAACCCUUAUGGUCAGUUACUACGCAAGAGGACUCUGGCCAGACUGCCGUUGACAAAACGGAGGAAGGUGGGGAUGACGUCAAAUCAUCAUGCCCUUUAUGACUUGGGCUACACACGUACUACAAUGGCGUUAAACGAAGAGAAGCAAGACCGCGAGGUGGAGCAAAACUCAGAAACAACGUCCCAGUUCGGACUGCAGGCUGCAACUCGCCUGCACGAAGUCGGAAUUGCUAGUAAUCGCAGAUCAGCAUGCUGCGGUGAAUACGUUCNCCGGGCCCUUGUACACACCGCCCGUNNC
This 1373-nucleotide ribosomal RNA is filed under the name uncultured bacterium. RNAcentral's name for it is "bacterial SSU rRNA". It matches the Rfam family "Bacterial small subunit ribosomal RNA". The record is from RNAcentral.